UGGGUGAUCUGCCCUGCACUUCGGGAUAAGCCUGGGAAACUGGGUCUAAUACCGGAUAUGACCUUGGGAUGCAUGUCCUUUGGUGGAAAGCUUUUGCGGUGUGGGAUGGGCCCGCGGCCUAUCAGCUUGUUGGUGGGGUUAAGCCUACCAAGGCGACGACGGGUAGCCGGCCUGAGAGGGUGACCGGCCACACUGGGACUGAGAUACGGCCCAGACCUCCGUACGGGAGGCA
RNAcentral lists this ribosomal RNA (232 nucleotides) under uncultured bacterium. Its description in RNAcentral is "partial 16S ribosomal RNA". It matches the Rfam family "Bacterial small subunit ribosomal RNA", at positions 118 to 350 of the family's 1533-position model. The record is from RNAcentral.